This is a long non-coding RNA of Pogonomyrmex barbatus (red harvester ant), 986 nucleotides long. The record is from RefSeq and is a predicted model, not a curated record. Lineage: Eukaryota; Metazoa; Arthropoda; Insecta; Hymenoptera; Formicidae.
AUAACAGACAACACAAAAGUACUACGUGGUUCAAUUCGACGACGGAAUCCAAAUUAUUCCUAAAAAUUAGUUUGUUGAUGAGACUCAAACAAAAACAUAUUGACCAAACUAUACUAAUUUCAAAACUUAUGAUAAGGCAGUCGAAUCAAUGCAAAAUGUUGACAUUGUUAAUUGGACAAGUCACAGUACGUGAAAUUAUAACAACUUCUGACAUCUUAUGUAUUAUGACAUCUCAAAUGUAUUAUUACUGCGAAUCAAAAUGAAGAACGAGUUGUAUGUACAAUCUGUAAAAAUAAUCAAGCAGAGAAACGUGAAGAGGAAGAAAAUCUAUUUGUCUCUAUGUUUCCUGUAAAAAACGAUGAGGAAUUACAAACAUUAGAGAGGUUGUUAGUGGACAAACAAAGUUAUACAAAAUUGAUAAGAUAUUUGUCUUCUUGUAAAUAUUACAGAAAUUUUACAGAAAUUAGACGGGCACAAUAUAAAACAUGUUAUACAUAAUAUCUUAAAAAAUGCUUCGUAUUGAAAUUAGCGCAAACAUAUAGUUGGCUUGGAAUUGGAAAAAGAAUAAAAAAAAAGUUUUCUGAACUACGUUUUUGCACAGUCAUAAUAGGAGAAGCGCAUCUCUCACUUAAUGACAUUUCCACGCUCAUUGGCAUUAUACAUUGGGGAUUGUCCACGUCGUUUAAACAUGGAAUGUGCAUCGAGAAUUAAAAAAGAGCGAGAUUGGUGGCAAUUAGAAGUGAGGCGAUUACACGUAUCUCGGAUAUAACAAUACGCAAAAUGAGGACAUCUGCGGAUAUGACAAAAUUGGGCACUACAUUUGCGCGCACGCGCAAGCCAGUUGGUGCUUAACACGAUCAGGCGUUGCCUCUUAGUUUUAAAUUCUUAAUCGUUUGUACUUGACAUUCUCUUCACAUCUAUUAUUUCAUUAAUUGUCUUUAUGUCUUAUUCAUCGCGUUGUAUUACCGCACUGAAGAAGACCUAAU